This 454-nucleotide ribosomal RNA is filed under the name uncultured bacterium. Its description in RNAcentral is "partial 16S ribosomal RNA". It matches the Rfam family "Bacterial small subunit ribosomal RNA", at positions 28 to 507 of the family's 1533-position model. The record is from RNAcentral.
GAUGAACGCUGACAGAAUGCUUAACACAUGCAAGUCAACUUGAACUUCGGUUUGGGUGGCGGACGGGUGAGUAACGCGUAAAGAACUUGCCUCACAGAUAGGGACAACAUUUGGAAACGAAUGCUAAUACCUGAUAUUAUGAUUAUAUGGCAUCGUAUAAUUAUGAAAGCUAUAUGCGCUGUGAGAGAGCUUUGCGUCCCAUUAGCUAGUUGGAGAGGUAACGGCUCACCAAGGCGAUGAUGGGUAGCCGGCCUGAGAGGGUGAUCGGCCACAAGGGGACUGAGACACGGCCCUUACUCCUACGGGAGGCAGCAGUGGGGAAUAUUGGACAAUGGACCAAGAGUCUGAUCCAGCAAUUCUGUGUGCACGAUGAAGUUUUUCGGAAUGUAAAGUGCUUCCAGUUGGGAAGAAAAAAAUGACGGUACCAACAGAAGAAGUGACGGCUAAAUACGUG